CAAGCAGCGGAGCGUGUGGUUUAAUUCGAGGCUACACGAAGAACCUUACCAGGGUUUGACAUGCAAGUGGUAGGAAUCCGAAAGGUGACCGACCCUUCGGGAGCUUGCACAGGUGCUGCAUGGCUGUCGUCAGCUCGUGUCGUGAGAUGUUCGGUUAAGUCCGCUAACGAGCGCAACCCUCGUCGUGUGUUAUACGUGUCACACGAUACUGCCGGUAUCAAGCCGGAGGAAGGUGGGGAUGAUGUCAAGUCAGCAUGGCCUUUAUAUCCUGGGCUACACACACGCUACAAUGGCAGAUACAAUAGGUUGCGAAACCGCGAGGUGGAGCCAAUCCUCAAAGUCUGUCUCAGUUCAGAUUGUAGGCUGCAACUCGCCUGCAUGAAGUUGGAGUUGCUAGUAAACGCAGGUCAGCUAUACUGCGUUGAAUACGUUCCCGGGGUUU
This 442-nucleotide ribosomal RNA is filed under the name uncultured Leptolinea sp. RNAcentral describes it as "bacterial SSU rRNA". It matches the Rfam family "Bacterial small subunit ribosomal RNA", at positions 926 to 1382 of the family's 1533-position model. Lineage: Bacteria; Bacillati; Chloroflexota; Anaerolineae; Anaerolineales; Anaerolineaceae. The record is from RNAcentral.